Molecule: ribosomal RNA, 464 nt
Filed under: uncultured bacterium
Lineage: Bacteria
Description: partial 16S ribosomal RNA
Rfam family: Bacterial small subunit ribosomal RNA
Source: RNAcentral
CUACGGGGGGCUCCAGUUAGGGAUAUUCGGCAAUGGGGGAAACCCUGACCGAGCAAUGCCGCGUGAAUGAAGAAGUAUUUCAAUAUGUAAAGUUCUGUUGUUAAGGAAGAAAGGUACGAAUAGGAAAUGAUUCGUAAUUGACGGUACUUAACCAGAAAGCCCCUGCUAACUACGUGCCAGCAGCAGCGGUAAUACGUAGGGGGCGAGCGUUAUCCGGAAUUAUUGGGCGUAAAGGGUGCGUAGGCGGCCUGUCAAGUCCGAGUUGAAAGCCCACGGCUUAACCGUGGAGGGUGCUCGGAAACUGAUAGGCUUGAAUCCAGAAGAGGCAAGUGGAAUUCUAUGUGGAGCGGUGGAAUGCGUAGAUAUAUGGAGGAACACCAGUGGCGAAGGCGGCUUGCUGGGCUGGUAUUGGCGCUGAUGCACGAAAGCGUGGGGAGCAAACAGGAUUAGAUACCCCGGUAGUC